UACGUAGGGGGCAAGCGUUGUCCGGAAUCAUUGGGCGUAAAGAGCGUGUAGGCGGCCCGAUAAGUCCGCUGUGAAAGUCCAGGGCUCAACCCUGGAAUGCCGGUGGAUACUGUCGGGCUCGAAUCCGGAAGAGGUGAGUGGAAUUCCUGGUGUAGCGGUGAAAUGCGCAGAUAUCAGGAGGAACACCAAUGGCGAAGGCAGCUCACUGGGACGGUAUUGACGCUGAGACGCGAAAGCCAGGGGAGCGAACGGG
Molecule: ribosomal RNA, 253 nt
Filed under: uncultured bacterium
Lineage: Bacteria
Description: partial 16S ribosomal RNA
Rfam family: Bacterial small subunit ribosomal RNA
Source: RNAcentral